AGCCAAUAUCUUUCUCAACUCCCUGGGGAGCAUACAGCCGGUGCUGCCAUUUCGGCGCUCACAGCUAGCAUUCAAUAAUACUAGCCCUGCCCAACCGCGUACUCAUUUGCAAUUUCCUAAAUCAUUACUUAUUCUUAUAAUAUAAUCUGUGGUAGAAUACUCAAACUAUAGUAGUUUUAAUCACCAUUACUCUUUCUCUCUGUGAAAUACUGCUUCAACAUCAAUUUCAUCAUCAAACUUUUCCAACAUCACAAUUGUACAGUUGAAAUGAAGCUCAUAAAAAAGUAACAGGCACCUUGACACAUGAACAUGACUGUUGAAAACACUACACCUAAAUAAAAAAAAGUUUAAGACUUAUUAGAAACAGAAAAUUCAAGCACCAAAUUUACUUAGCCUCUUAAAACUGACAAUGUGCUAUAUACAUGUACAUGUUUGUGGUAAGUGCUGACGUGUACAUACAUUGUAAGUAUUGUAUUUUUUGGUAUGGUUAUUAUAUAUGGUAUAUUUGAUAAACAUUCUACAUAUUUAUGGUUAAAUAAUAAUUGACAUGCAAGUAAAUAUAUUAAGAAAUAUUUAUAUCUUUUAAAAAUAUAUGAAUGAGAUAUAUUUACCUCAAUCAAAAAGAGAAUAGGAACCAGAGUGGUACAAAAUUGUAUUUUCACAUAGCAGUGUUUAAUCCUUCGCGGAAUAUACAAAGUUAUCUAUAAGGAAUCUGGAUACCUUUGGUUGACUAUCCAGUACCUGGUAUAUUACUCUUUAAGGAGGUAUGCUAUGCUUACACUAUAUCCGAUUUAUAUUAGAGUUACCUCCCCUUUUUAUUAGCAUGUACCUGGGUGAUAUCAAUCUAUACUUUUUUUGUACCUUUGAAAUUUGCCAUCAUCUGACAGGUCUAAAGUUACUGUUCGUAGGAAAGUCUUGGAGCGGAACUUUUUUUAAAAAGGAGGCUAAAUGUCACAGUGAGAUAGCAUUUUUAACAUCCUUAAGAUAAGUUAAUGCCUGUAUGUGGUUUCGUUUGUCAGUGUUUUGUGCUGGAGACGUUAACAAACACUAACGUCAUCUACUUUCGAAAAAUCCGGUUUCUUAUCUUUCAUACUUUGUCAUACUUGAGCUUUAAAUACAAGAAUGCCAACUCCAAGCAAAGUUUAUAAGAAAAGGAUCGAAAUGCAAAUUAUAAAUAUAUUUGGUAAAGCCUGCUUAUUUGGUAACACAAACAACAGCUAGGUUCUUCAUACCAUGAAAUCACAGUGACAUGUGAUCUAGCUGCUUACAGCUGUAAGACAUGUUUCUUGUGUAAGUUAAUUAUAAUCACACAGGGACAUGGAGAGACAGCUCUGCUGUGUUACAUGUUUCUUGUGUAAGUUAAUUAUAAUCACACAGGUACAUGGAGAGACAGCUCAGCUGUGUUACAUGUUUCUUGUGUAAGUUAAUUAUAAUCACAAAGGGACCCAGAGAGACAGCUCAGCUGUGUUACAUGUGUCUUGUGUAAGUUAAUUAUAAUCACACAGGUACAUGGAGAGACAGCUCAGCUGUGUUACAUAUUUCUUGUGUAAGUUAAUUAUAAUCACCCAGGGACACGGAGAGACAGCUCAGCUGUGUUACAUGUUUCUUGUGUAAGUUAAUUAUAAUCACACAUGGACACAGAGAGACAGCUCAGCUGUGUUACAUGUUUCUUGUGUAAGUUAAUUAUAAUCACACAUGGACACAGAGAGACAGCUCAGCUGUGUUACAUAUUUCUUGUGUAAGUUAAUUAUAAUCACACAGAGACAUGGAGAGACAGCUAAGCUGUGUUACAUGUUUCUUGUGUAAGUUAAUUAUAAUCACACAGUGACACAGAGAGACAGCUCAGCUGUUUUACAUGUUUCUUGUGCAAGUUAAUCACACAAGGACACAGAGAGACAGCGGCUUAUAGCUGUACACAGUUUACCGAGUAUUUAAAUGAUAAUGCCAACAAUUACUCAUUUUUGUUUUUGGGGUACAACAUUCUGAUUAAUAAUCCUCUAAAACAGCCUGGAACAAAUUAAAGAGAUUAUCUACCAACAAUGCGCACCAUAUGGCCUAUAGGACGCACACAUGUACAUAGACUAGUACUUGUCCAACUUUGACCUUGAAUCACAAACAAGACCAGUAGGUCAGUGAUACCUUAUCCAGGUAAAUCUAACGACCUGUCUAUGUCACUGGGAUAUCCCUUUUGAUACCAGGCUACUUAGCUACAUUUACUGUAUAGCAUAUGUACCUCUGAGAAACGUAUCUGGUGUUUACCUCUGUAGACAGCUACUCCAUUCUGACCUCUGUCUACAGCAGUAUUUCUGAUAGGCACAGGACAACUGUUGACUUAUUUUGUCUGAUAUGUCACAUGAAGAUUUUAUGAAAAUCGUGACACAGAUUUACUUGAUAUUCAAUCAAAUUUUCAUUUCAAGGAGAAAAUGUCCUGGGUUCAUUGAGCGCAAGCUUGUCUGGUACUGUAAUUGCUACUUGGUACAUUGUACUUUUAACACUGCUGGUUUUAAGACAAGUACAAUUAUUUACCAUGGCAGGUAUCAGACAGCUGUUCACAUGUAAAGAAAUCAAUACACAUGUUCUUAACUUGUAUAAUGUUUACAAGCUAUUCUUACAACAUGUGGUAUAAAUUGGAGGACUUAUAAAUCAACCCUUCCUCUGUAGUUCAAAUUGUAGACUGGCAAAGAAUCUGACUUAACCCAAUAAUCAGUCAAUGAGCAUUAUUUUCUUGCCAGUGUGAAAAUCAUGAAAACCCAAGAUCAAUUUCUCUAUUUCUUACUCACCGGCCGUGUGUCAUGAUUUUACCCAGUUUCAAGGAAUCGGUGAGACUGAUAUUUCUCUUACCCUGGACAGGUGUAUUCACACUUUCCCCAGUGUGAGAUAUCCUCGUCUCCCCCCAGUAUCGAGACGAGGGGAUUUCCCAGUUAGAACAAUUGUAUGACAUCAUGUCAAUGAUGUCAUGCUGCUGAGGUCACAUCUACACAACAUACAGGAAAAGGUCAACGGGGUCAGAGAAAAAGAAUAAUUGCCUCCAGCAGGAGCGAGAUAGGGGAAUUCAACCCUCAAGGGUUGAUACCCCCCCCCAAGAUUCUAUCAUUACCAUUAUCAAACUUAUGCAGGUACCAUGUAUCGUACAAAGUACCUGACAUAAAUUUAUGUUAAUUUAUAUACCUGUAUGUAUCAUCAAUACUUUUAUAUGUAUCUCCUUUUAUUCAGGUACGACCUAAAAAGUGUGCUCCUGUCUUGGGAUAAUAAAAUACAGGUACUUCCUAAAAUGCAUGUUUCGGUACCUGUCUUGGGAUAAUAAAAUACAGGUACUUCCUAAAAUACAUGUUUCGGUACCUGUCUCGGUAUAAUAAAAUACAUGUACUUCCUAAAAAAAAUGUUUCGGUACCUGUCUCGGGAUAAUAAAAUACAGGUACUUCCUAAAAUACAUGUUUCGGUACCUGUCUCGGCAUAAUAAAAUACAUGUACUUCCU
Molecule: long non-coding RNA, 3476 nt
Filed under: Mizuhopecten yessoensis (Yesso scallop)
Lineage: Eukaryota; Metazoa; Mollusca; Bivalvia; Pectinida; Pectinidae
Description: uncharacterized LOC110457272
Source: RNAcentral